CUGGGACUGAACUCCACCCAGAUGCCAGCUGGCUGGCCCUGCCCUGCUGGAGGCGCCAUCUCUGGGACCCAGCUGGGGCCUGGCCUGGGAGCCAGCAUGGCCAUCCAGAAAGCGGUGCUGAUGUGCCUGGGACUGCCUCUCUUCCUACUCCCAGGGGCCCAGGCCCAGAACCACGCCCCAUCUGGCUGCAGCCCGGACCUCAGCCCCCUCUAUUACAACCUGUGUGACCGCUCCGGGGCUUGGGGCAUCAUCUUGGAGGCAGUGGCGGGGGCGGGCAUCGUCACCACCUUUGUCCUCACCAUCGUCCUCGUGGCCAGCCUCCCCUUCGUGCAGGACACCAAGAAGCGGAGCCUGCUGGGGACCCAGGUGUUCCUCCUGCUGGGGACCCUGGGCCUCUUCUGCCUCGUCUUUGCCUGCGUGGUGAAGCCUGACUUCUCCACCUGUGCCUCUCGGCGCUUCCUCUUUGGGGUCCUGUUCGCCAUCUGCUUCUCCUGCCUAGUGGCCCACGUGAUAGCCCUCAACUUCCUGGUCCGGAAGAACCACGGGCCCCGGGGCUGGGUGGUCUUCAUCGUGGCCCUGCUGCUGAGCCUCGUGGAGGUGAUCAUCAACACGGAGUGGCUGAUCAUCACGCUGGUGCGGGGAGGGGGCGGCGAGGGUGGCCCUCCGGCCAAUGGCAGUGCCGGCUGGGCCACCGCCUCCCCCUGUGCCAUCGCCAACGUGGACUUUGUCAUGGCGCUGAUCUACGUCAUGCUGCUGCUGUCCUGCGCCUUUGCGGGGGCCUGGCCCGCCCUGUGCGGCCGCUUCAAGCGCUGGCGGAAGCACGGGGUCUUCGUGCUGCUCACCACGGCCGCCUCCAUCGCCAUCUGGGUGGCGUGGGUCGUCAUGUACACCUACGGCAACCAGCGGCGCAAGAGCCCCACGUGGGAUGACCCCACGCUGGCCAUCACCCUCGCCGCCAAUGCCUGGGCCUUUGUGCUCUUCUAUGUCAUCCCUGAGGUCUCCCAGGUGACCAAGGCCAGCCCGGAGCAGAGCUACCAGGGGGACCUGUACCCCACCCGGGGCGUGGGCUACGAGACCAUCCUGAAAGAGCAGAAGGGCCAGAGCAUGUUUGUGGAAAACAAGGCAUUUUCCAUGGACGAGCCAGCCUCAGCUAAGAGACCAGUGUCACCGUACAGCGGGUACAACGGGCAGCUGCUGACCGGUGUGUACCAGCCCACCGAGAUGACCCUGAUGCACAAAGCCCCGUCUGAAGGAGCUUACGACGUCAUCCUCCCACGGGCCACUGCUAACAGCCAGGUGAUGGGCAGUGCCAACUCCACCCUGCGGGCCGAAGACAUCUACGCAGCCCAGAGCCACCAGGAUGCCACCCUGCCGAAGGAAGGCAAGAACUCUCAGCUCCCAGGAAAGCCGCUGCUGACUUUUCCUUCUGUGCAACGAAGUAGCUGACACCUCUCCCCAGGGAAGAGUUCUUCAGCUAAGCCUGGAGUCAAGAUCCCAGAACCAGACCAUUUUAGGGUUAGACAGGGCCUUGGGGGCUCAGUCCCCGAAAAAUAAUACAAGAUGGUAGACGCCCUCUUCCCUGGACCGCACGUCGUUCUGCUGUCCUCAUUCCUCUGUGUCCAGGCUGGGCAGGGCCCUUGUCACUGGAGCGGGAAGGGCCCGGAGGCCACCGAUCUGGAGCAGUGGAGUCAGGGGCCGUGUGAAACCCUGGGGCAUGUGGCUGGGGCUAUGGGCCACCCCCCCCCCCUUCCCGGCCCCGCAAUUCCUGCCCAGCCCAGCCUCUCCUGGUCCCCAAGUGACCUGAGACCACAGGAGCGGUCUGCAGACACCCAGCCUCCCUCUGGACGCCCUCCCCCAACAUCACAGCCCCUGUGCCCCUCUACUGUGGGUCUCCAGAUGGCCAUCUUUCCUGGCCAUCUUUCGGUUCCAGCCUCAGCCUGUCCCACCCUGCUCCAAGGCGAAGCCAAACCAUGGCGAAGCUGGCCCUUGCCCUUCUCACCAGCUCCUCCUGCCACCACCUGGACGGUGGAAGGCCGCUGAGCUGGGCAAAGCUCACUCAAGACCUGGACAGAUCGUGCCUCUCUUCCUGGCCUGUGGGUCCUGGAUCUGAGCCCCUCUGCAUCACCACCUGAUACCUUCAUUGAACCAGGUCCCAUCAAGACAAAGUAGGGGGUAGGGCUGCAUUCUCAGGGGUCAACUGAGAGUCCUGGGCCAGAUGGACCGGGGUCUAGGCCUCUCCCAGGACUGAGACUUGUGGGACUGGGGGCAGCCCCUGCGAUAAGUGGUGUCCAGGACUGAAGAUUGUGCCAUUUCCUGAUGGGCAGAUGGCUAGGUUUCUGCCUCACCUUGGGCACCUCGACAGUGCUGGUGCCGCUGUCAUCACCCAUGACAUGCUCCACCAGGUCCUGAUGGCCACCAAGGGAAGUGGGGGCAUCCUGGCGACCUGCACGAUGCUGGCACCAACAAAGAUGUGCACAUGGCUCCAGACUCGUGGGAACGACAUCUCUGUAGUGUCUCCUUGGCCUCCUGCCCUUGGGUACCGGAGCUGGCUCAUCCAAGGGGCUCAAGCCAGGUGUGUCCCCGGAGCUCACCUCUGCCUGCUGAGAUGAGAGAGGAUGAGCACAGCGCAGGUGCUGACCCCGUAGGCGGCCCCACAGCCCUCACCCCCACCCCAGCGCCACCCCCCUGCCCCCAGCACCACCCCCCUGCCCCCAGCACCUGUGCCUUUGUCGCCAGCAUAUUUCUCCAGGGCUAAGUUGGGUGAACAGGCCCUGCAGAGACUGAUGGAAGGGGAGGGGGGAGCUCUGAGCGCCCCGGACUCCUUGUGAUCUAGGUUAGUAGCCCCAAAUCCCUCACAGUGAAUAAAGGCUCUAUCUCGCUUUUUGA
Molecule: RNA transcript, 2886 nt
Organism: Balaenoptera ricei (Rice's whale)
Lineage: Eukaryota; Metazoa; Chordata; Mammalia; Artiodactyla; Balaenopteridae
Gene: GPRC5C
Gene name: G protein-coupled receptor class C group 5 member C
Exons: 7
Source: RefSeq, a predicted model, not a curated record